This 549-nucleotide ribosomal RNA is filed under the name uncultured fungus. RNAcentral's name for it is "SSU rRNA". It matches the Rfam family "Eukaryotic small subunit ribosomal RNA", at positions 548 to 1098 of the family's 1831-position model. Lineage: Eukaryota; Fungi. The record is from RNAcentral.
UUGGAGGGCAAGUCUGGUGCCAGCAGCCGCGGUAAUUCCAGCUCCAAUAGCGUAUAUUAAAGUUGUUGCAGUUAAAAAGCUCGUAGUUGAAUUUCGGGAUCGACGGGUCGGUCGCGCCUCUGGUGUGUACUGGCCCUGUCGGUUUCUCCCUUCUGACGAACCACGAUGUCAUUAAUUUGGCGUCGUGGGGAAUCAGGACUGUUACUUUGAAAAAAUUAGAGUGUUUAAAGCAAGCAUUUGCUUGAAUACAUUAGCAUGGAAUAAUGAAAUAGGACGUUUGAUCUUAUUUUGUUGGUUUCUAAGAUCGACGUAAUGAUUAAUAGGGAUAGUUGGGGGCAUUAGUAUUCAAUUGUCAGAGGUGAAAUUCUUGGAUUUAUUGAAGACUAACUACUGCGAAAGCAUUUGCCAAGGAUGUUUUCAUUAAUCAAGAACGAAAGUUAGGGGAUCGAAGACGAUCAGAUACCGUCGUAGUCUUAACCAUAAACUAUGCCGACUAGGGAUCGGAUGAUGUUAAUUUUUUAAUGACUCAUUCGGCGCCUUACGGGAAAC